Long non-coding RNA from Ostrea edulis (European flat oyster), 1663 nucleotides. RefSeq lists it as uncharacterized. Lineage: Eukaryota; Metazoa; Mollusca; Bivalvia; Ostreida; Ostreidae. The transcript is spliced from 3 exons. The record is from RefSeq and is a predicted model, not a curated record.
UUCAGGGUUUUUUUUUUUAAAACGUGACACUAUUGGACACUACUGGAAAUAUUUCAAGAGAUCGCUGCUAUAGGCCAAUUUUGGAAUUGCAUAGAGAUCCCUAUUCAAAGGGUUAUGAUAUACUGACCUGCAAAUUGUGAAGGAGGAUUUAAUCAUUUUCCACAAGAAUCAUUUUUAAAUAACUUGCCCAAAUCAGAAGAGAAAACAUUGAACUGGAGUACAAGACAAUACGUGAAAUGUUGGAAGAAUUUAACCAGGUCUUCAAGAAAAUAGAAGAAAAUGACAUUAAAGUUCAGAAACCUUUAAUAGUUUUAGGAGCCCGAGUCGUGGUGACGUUCUCAUCGAGAUAUUUGAGGUCAUUUGAGAGAACUUGACUAUCAUGCAAGCAAUUACGUAAAAGGGGCCACAUAACAACCGCACUGCUCUACAACAUGCUGCAAUGAUGAUCAAUAAUCUUGACUACAUUUCAAAACGAGACUGUGUGAUAAGACUUACCAUUUGCAUAAUUAUUUUGGUAUGGAGAAGAGCCAUAUUCCCUAGGCAUUCAUUAGGGUAUUUAUAAUGCCAAAAUGGACUUCUGACAGUAAACCGGAUGGACAAUGUGAGUGAAAAGUCAACACCUUUUAUGCAGAUAGUUGGAUAAUUAAAUAAUUAAAAGUGAUAUAGAGAUUCCAUUCUCUCUCAUUUCAAUUGAUAUUCUUUUAUUGAGAUCAUUAUGUGAAAUGCACUAUGCUCAAUAUAAUUGUUAUCAGUAUAACCGCUGUAAAAUGUGCUGGAAAGUUUGUCUAUAUACAAAGAAUAAAGAUGACUUGGACAUACAAAAUUGAUGAAUUAAACACACAUGAAUUCUUCAAUUUUCCUACACGAUUUUGUAUUAUACAGUGUGUUUGCUGGAUUAUGCAUGGGAAUUUGAAAACCAUUACGACUUAUGUCGCUUUUAACCUUAAACAAAUUUUCAACUUCGUAUUAUUCAAUGAAUCAUUUCAUUCUGUCUCUUGCUGAGGAAAGUAAUCCUGAAUAACAUGUUCAAAAAAUCAUUAGGCCAUGCCGCAUCAAAACUUAAAUAAAAUGAUCAAUUAUUUAAAGAAAAACUAUGCUUGAAGGGAGGUAAUUCGCAUUUUUUUUCAUAAUAAAAUCUAGCUAUAUUACAAUUGAUAUAGAUAAUGAUUUUGUUUAAACAAUAAUGAUAUAUCCAUUUUUGUGGUAUAAGAUGUAAAAAUCAUUUUGAUAAGGGCCAAAUUGCAUCUGUCCAUUUAAAGAUUCCAUUUUUUCUAAGAGAGCUAUGUUGCUUCAAAGAGCUAAGUUGGACAUGUUAAGAUCAUUUUGAUAAAAACAAACUUUAUCUGCCAAAUUAAAAAUAAAGCAAUGAGUAAAAUCUAAGAAGGCUUUGGAAAUGGUUUUGGAAAUGAUUUUUCACUCCUUGAAUCAUAGGAUAUAUCUUAGUACAGUCCAAACUUAUCAAGCAAUUCAUAGUAUGUGAAGAAAUGAUCUAAAUGCCUAUAUCAAAUUGAAAUAUGUUUUCAAAAUAUCAUUUCUGUAGUUAUUUGAAGAGUUCAAGAAAUAUCUUGACAUGUGAAGUGUUGCACUUAGGUUGAAGUAAAUUUAUCUUCUGUAUAUUCAUCUGUAAUAGAUAAACAUGAAAAAAAUGAAGAUAAAGAAGAUU